Molecule: long non-coding RNA, 1158 nt
Organism: Tarenaya hassleriana
Lineage: Eukaryota; Viridiplantae; Streptophyta; Magnoliopsida; Brassicales; Cleomaceae
Exons: 2
Source: RefSeq, a predicted model, not a curated record
UUGGACGUCUGAAGGCAUGUUUUAUAGACCCUAGGCGGCGCUCCCAAAGUCCUUCUCCCACCAGAAUUAGGAAAACUCGAAUUAGGUCUUUUUCCGGGUUUUGACUCGGACCGAGUCAAGUUCUGACUCGGCCGAGUCAAGUCGAACUUUUGAUCUUCACGAUUUCGCUCAUAACUUUCUGCUCCGGUGUCGGAUUUACGCGAUUUUGGUGUCUACGCGAAGCUCUUGAAGUCCUUUUUCCAAUGGUAGAAGUUUCGUGCGAUUUGGACUUCUGUGGAGAAAGUUAUCGACGUUGCAACAUGAGUACCUCAUCCGGACAUCUCCUUUAACGCUCCAAAUAGUUCCUUUUCGGUUCCAAUCACCUCCGAAACCUGUAACUCUGCAAAACUAGAGCACAACCGGGUUUUGUGUCCUAAUACGCCUAGAAUUCCUAUAAAUGCACAUGAUCCUCGUCUAAAUCCUAUAGAAACGUCCAGGAAAUAUAGAGAGAAUUAGGAGUUAUCACUCUACACAAUCGGCGGGGUAGAGAACCUUAUCGCUGCAAGAAAAUACUACGCGGCCACCAUAGACUUGACGGGCGGCAGAAACAACAGAGCCCUAUUCGGGAUCUGCUUGUGUGCCUCUGCCAUUUCUCAGCUAUCAAAGGGCAGGAAUAAAGAGGACAGAGACAUGGUGGCGCCUGAGCUGCAGUCUCUGGCUGCAUCUGCACUUGAGAAGGAGUUCAAGCAAAACUCUCCGGCUAAGCUUCAGCUCCUCUCCUCCGCUUUGCGAAGCUUGAAACUUUGAUCUUAAAAAGCCGUUUAUUGUUUGAGAAACGCAGUCGCGAAUGCUAGUUGGGUCGGUGGCCGUGGGGUUCUGUGUGGAACAGAACUCACAAGGAGGCUGACUGGUGGAGUGGUGUUCAUCUGCAGCUUUGGUCUUGCAAGUGUUUUUUUCUUUCAUGAAGGUUUCCACAAACAUAAACAUUUUUGGUGUUUCUAGUUUUAAGUUAGUGUCAGGUUGCUCUUUUUUUCUUCCUUUAAAUUUUUAAAUGUCUUAAAAUUAUUGACUGUAUUAUUAUUUGUUGUUCUCUGAAUAGACUGUAUGAACAUAAGCCACUCCGCUGAUUUAUUUCUUUUUUUUUUUUUAAAUUGAAUUGUUGCUUUAAGAUUUCAUAUU